UACGGAGGGUGCAAGCGUUAUCCGGAUUCACUGGGUUUAAAGGGUGCGUAGGUGGGCAGGUAAGUCAGUGGUGAAAUCCCCGAGCUUAACUUGGGAACUGCCAUUGAUACUAUUUGUCUUGAAUACUGUGGAGGUUAGCAGAAUAUGUCAUGUAGCGGUGAAAUGCUUAGAUAUGACAUAGAACACCAAUUGCGAAGGCAGCUGGCUACACAAAUAUUGACACUGAUGCACGAAAGCGUGGGGAUCAAACAGG
RNAcentral lists this ribosomal RNA (253 nucleotides) under uncultured bacterium. RNAcentral's name for it is "partial 16S ribosomal RNA". It matches the Rfam family "Bacterial small subunit ribosomal RNA", at positions 524 to 776 of the family's 1533-position model. The record is from RNAcentral.